GCUUUUUCAAGCACCCUUUGAGACCCCACAUUUUCAACAUCAACCAAAGCCUCAAGUCUCUCCAAAUGUGGCCAUUCAACAAAUAUGGUAUCAACCACCAUUUUCACAGCUCUCGUUACAAUCCCUUUACCCCAAUACUUGGAUGCCAAAACAUACCCAAGUUCACCCCUACACUUAUCAUUGCCUGAAUUUGCACUCACCGAAAUAGCACCAACCGGUCGAUCGUCAACACAUAUUGCUCUAAACCAAGGGUGAGGCACAACAGUGUUCUUUAUGUAAUUCAAGCCAUCUUCUUUGUUGGUGUAAGGUUCCCAAGUACAAAAACGUGUCACUUUUUCAUCACUGGCCCAGACCAUGAAAUCAUCCACAUCUGAAACUUGUAAUGGUCGGAGAGAUAAGUUGAGACAUUCAUCUUUGGCUUUGGUUUGGUCUAAUUGAACAACAGAGGUUGCUUCCAUGCUGGGUUUCUUGUAAGAAAUUUUCGGUUGGUCCCUGAAUGUGUAAUUAAACUAAAAAAUUGGAUGAGAAUUAACAAAGUUUAGGUUUGGUAUAUAUAGAUAAACUAGAAGAUGAUAGCUUGGAGAACUUGCUAGGAACCUUAGCCAAACUAUGGUGCUUUCCUUUUUGAGUAAGGAGCAAGAACCGAGUGGUGCUUUAUCCAGCCGCCCUGUUUGACUUUUGAGUCAAGAACUAAGGCUGGUAGAUGUCAAUUUAAAUGAUUAUACUUUAAUUUUAUAUUAAUUAUUUUUUAUUUUAUAUCUAACUAUUGUGAUAUACAGAUAAUAAAUAAAUUUUUUAUUCAUUAUAUUACACUAGUAAUUAAAAUUUUUGAGAUUUUAAAAAUGGCAACCAUUAACUCCGAAAAUGAAUCUCUAAAUCGAAUAUAGAGGGUAAAAAAAUAAAAAAAAUAACCCAAAAAUCAUUUCAAAGAUAUUAUAAUAUUAAAUUUAAUAGACAAAUAUGGAGAUUAGGUUUUGUGCAUUGUAUUUUAUAUAGGCUUUUUUGGUGCACUUAUUUAUUUAUAUUAUCAAUUUUAACUAACAGAGAUCCCCAGAUUUGGACCAAAAAGAAAAGACCCCCAGAUUAUAUUGAAGAUUUUGGACCACUGGCAGCAAUCCAAGUUGACAAAUCUCCUUUUUGUUGUCCAUUGUAUUGAAGACCUCCAUUGCACUCAAAGGGUCACCACAUCUGAUAGCAAACAUAGAAACUUAAAAGCUUGGUCAUAAUAGUACUACAGGGAUGGUGAAUUAGGCCUUAGUUCCUAAUUUCCUGAACUGAAUGAGGUUUCUGCAAUUUGUUUUUGGUAGAAUUUUUAAGCUUUGAGAGGUUGCUGCCAUUGUUGGAGUGCUUUUUAGGUGCCUGUAAUAGCCAACUUAACUGAGUUGUUCUUGGGCUUAUAUUCACAUGCAUACAGAUUCAUGACUAAAUUACCAGAAAAGGCCUUUUUAUUUUAAAAAACACGAAAUAGGCCACUUUUUAUAAAAUUGACAGAAAUGGGCCGUUUUUAUUAAAAUGCGCCCAGCUGGUGCCGUUUUUAGGGGAAAAUCAGAAAAGUUUGUCCAGCUCAGUGCGAUUUUUCCCUAAUCAGUAAAGCGCUUUCACCUUAGUGUGUUAAGAAAAAACGCGUCCAGGUUAGCGCAUUUUUAAGAGUUGAUAGAGAAAUUUGAGAGAUUUAAGAGAGAAAUGUGAGAAAAUAGUAGGUGGGGAGUUUUAUAUUUCUUUUAUGACCAUUGGGGGUGGGGGUUGGUGACUGUUGGGGCCAACGACUAUUUAAAAUAGCCGUUGGAAGUGACUAUUAUGGGGGGGAGAGAACGCGCUGAUCUAGACGCAUUUUUCCUUAACACGUUGAGGUGGAAGCACUUUACUGGUUAGGGGGAAAAACAUGCUGAGCUGAACGCGCUUUUCUGAUUUCCCCUAAAAAUGGCACCAGCUGGGCACGUUUUAGUAAAAACAGCUCAUUUCCGUCAAUUUUACAAAAAGUGGCCUAUUUCUGUGUUUUUCAAAAUAAAAGGGCCUUUUCUGAUAAUUUAGUCAUGAAUCCGUAUGCAUGUGAAUAUAAGCCCAAGAACAGCCCAGUUAAGUUGGCUAUUGCAGGCACCAGAAAAGCACUCCAACAAUGGACUUUUACCUGAUUUUUUUUAUUUAAAAGAAUUAAAUGAUGUAGAAAUAAUUAUAUAUAACAUAAAAAUGAUGAAAUUUACCUGAGUUUAAAAUAAUUUAAAAUUAAAAUACUUGUAACAUGGAUUUUUUUUCUAAAAAGUCGAUACCUAAAAUAUAUAAUUUAAACUCAAAAUAUCGGUUAAAUUAUCAUCUUUGUUCAUCCUAUAAGUAGUAAUGGAAGGUGGUGCUGACAGUGAGAUUGUCAGCGCCAACAUGAACGGUAGAAAACAGGUCAUUUUCAUACAAGAUUUUACACUUAAGUCAUUUUGAAAAAGAAAAAAAAACUCUAUAUGUGAAUUAAAAAUUAAUUUCCAAUCCACCUGAAAGUUACUUAUAAUUUGAGAACUUAAUUAGAACAUUAUGAAAUCUAGAAACUUAAUUUAAAAUUCGAUGUAUAAUUUUGAGAUGUAAGGUGAAUUAACCCUUUGAUAAAUCAUAACAUAUUUAUAAGUUCGAUACUCAUUAACAAAUUGAUUUUAUAUUAUAAGUUCAAUUUUAAUUUUUUUGGUGCUAUAACAAAAUUUCCUUAAAAGAAUAUAAAUUUUAGAAUUUUUAUGAAUAUUUUGAUUUUAAAAAUUAUUUUAAUUUUUUUUUGUAAUUUUUGUUGAGAGAUAUUAAUUUCUUAAUUUUAAAAUUGACAGGAAUCAAAGGAGUAUAUAUCAAUCUGUUGUUUGAAUUAUUCGAGUUAUUUAAAUUAUAAAAUUCAACUCGAAUCUCGAAUUAUAAAUAUUUUUAAUAAUAUAAAACAUAAAAAAUAUUAAAAUUAAAUAAUAAUAUAGAAAUGAAAAUAUUUCUCACGCUCUAAGAAAGUUUGAAAGCUGAAAUUUAAAUAUGUCUCUUUCAAAAGUGAAAAGUUUUAUAUAUUCUAUUAUCAAAAUUUCCACUCAUUGUGUCCAUCAAUCGAGAAGGUGACUUGACUUGUACACAUUGGUUGAACGUUGUUUUUGUGCAAUAAAAACUUGGACAUUUGCAUGCAAUGCGAAAGACUUAAGACUUAAAAGGCCUAUAAUAUUUCAUACUAUCAUUUUUUCUGGUCCUAAAUUAAAUAUUUUAGAAUUUUCAAAUUAAGACGGUACUCAUAAUUUGAGAACUUAAUUAAAAUAUUGUAAAGUUUAGGGGUCAAUUUAAAAUUCGAUUAAACCAUUUUGGAUACUCAUUAACAAAUUGAUUUUAUCUUAUAAGUUAAAAUUUAUAUUUUCGGUGCUAUAACAAAAUUUACUUAAAAAAUUAAAUUGUAAUUUUUUUAUUUAAAAAAAAUUAAAUGAUGUAGAAAUAAUUAUAUAUAACAUAAAAAUGAUAAAAUUUAUCUGAGUUUAAAAUAAUUUAAAGUUAAAAUAUUUGUAACAUGGAUAUUUUUUUUUUAAAGUUGAUACCUAAAAUAUUUAAUUUAAAGUUAAAAUAUCGGUUGAAUUAUCAUCUUUGCUCAUUCUAUGCAUAGUAAUGGUUCUAAUAGGGUUUAAAGUGCUAUAAUUUAGUCUUUUUUUUAAUGACAUAGAUUUACACUGACUAUUUAUACAGAGUAAGGAGUGGGCAAGAAAACUACAACCUUGAUAUUAAUAAGUUAAUGAAAUCGAUAAAAUAUUAAAAUCUCAUUCUUCAAAAUUAAAAUGGAAAAAAAAGAAAGACUUGACUAAAGUGGUGGUAUUGAUUGGGCAAAAAGACUUGGAAACUGCAUGCCAUGCCAAACAUGAAAACUACACAUUUGUCUAUAAAUAAGUUGUAUGCCAAGCACAAUCCUUCUUCACACCCAACAAACAUGAACACUCUUCAUUUCCUUAUUUCACUCUUCCUCUUCUCAUGCUUCCUUUCUCUUGUCUUGUCUUUUUCACCUCCUCAAACUCAUCUCCCUAAGCAAUGCCUUGAUGACCAGAGAGCUCCUCUGCUGCAAUUGCAGCAUCAUCUUUACUAUGCCCCUCAUUUUACUUUCUCUUCCAAAUUUGACCUCUGGGAUGUCAACACUGAUUGUUGUUCUUGGGAAGGAGUCACUUGUGAUGCUUAUGGUCAUGUCGUUGGCAUUGAUCUUAGUUACAAAAACCUUUCAGGCAGCUUCCACUCCAUAUUCGAUCUCCAUCAUCUUCAACACCUUAAUCUUGCUGGAAACAACUUUAAUACCACUCUGUUUUCGUAUGGGUUUGAUAAACUCCAAAAUCUAACUCAUCUCAACCUUUCAAGCUCAGGUUUCCAUGGCCAAAUUCCAGUGAACAUCUCAUUCUUAUCAAGGUUAGUUUCUCUUGAUCUAUCUUAUCAAGUUGAUUACUGUUGGAGAAGUGGUUAUUAUAAUCUAUCAAGACCACAUCUGAAAUUAGAGAAACCAAACUUCAAGACAUUUAUCAAGAAUUUGAAGUUUCUCACGGAGCUUUAUUUGGAUGGUGCCGACAUUUCAACUCAAAGUACUAAAUGGUGUGAAACCACAUCUCCUGUGCUUUCCAACCUGCGUGUGUUGACUCUGUCAAACUGCGGUUUGAAAGGUCCAUUAUGUUCUUUACUCUCAAGACUCCCUUUUCUUUCCAAACUUAUCCUUGAUUGUAACCCAAUCUCUUAUUUACCUCCCAAUUUCUUGCUAAAUUCCUCUCGUUUGGUUUCCCUCAGUUUGAGUGGUUGCAAUUUGAAUGGGCAAUUUCCAACCGGAAUUCUCUUAUUGCCAAAAAUUCAGAGCAUUGACAUUUCAAGCAAUGACCAACUCAUGGGUCAGUUGCCAGAAUUUCCAGCAAACAAUGCAUUACUGAGUCUGUCACUUGGAGUCACAAAUUUCAGUGGAAAACUACCUGAAUCGAUUGGUAAUCUUAAGUUCCUGACAAAUUUAGAGCUUUCUUAUUGCAAUUUUUUUGGACCCAUUCCAUCGUCAAUUGCAAAUCUUAGUCACCUGGUGAACUUGGAUCUAAGUUCAAACAAGCUUUCUGGAUCAAUACAUUCUUCUUUAUUUACUCUUCCAUCGUUGAAGAACCUGUAUCUUGGAGACAAUCAAUUGGUUGGGAAAAUUGAUGAGUUCCCCAAUGCAUCUUCUUCUUUGAUUCAAGAAUUAAGUAUGGGAAAUAAUUAUUUAACAGGACCAAUCCCGAAGUCAAUCCUUCAACUUCCAAGGCUUGAAGGGCUUUAUAUCGGAGACAAUAGCUUCAGUUCCAUGAAGCUUGACAUGUUUGUCCAACUCAACAACUUAAGGACUCUUGGGCUAAACAAUAUAAGCUUGUUAAUUGAAAGUGACAACAGAAGUCUUACUUUUCCCCAAUUAGAGACCCUAAGCCUAAGGUCAUGCAACCUUACUGAAUUUCCAGAAUUCAUUAAAAGGCAAGACAAGUUGGUUAACUUAGAUCUUUCUAACAACCAUAUCCAUGGUUUUGUGCCCAAUUGGUUGUGGAAGAGCAGUCUUUCAUGGGUAGACCUUUCUUUCAAUGUGAUUGAUUUUCCAAAACAGCUUCCCUUAAAUGAUGCAAACUUCUCAUUUCCAAUGUUGACAGAAUUAUAUUUGAUAUCCUGUAACAUAAGUGCGUUUCCAGAGUUCUUAAAGAGUCAAAAAAAUUUAGAAGAAUUCGACGCAUCUUAUAACAAUUUGAGUGGCCCAAUUCCAAAUUGGUUAUGCAAUAUGAGUCAACUUAGAUUUUUUAAUGCAUCUUAUAACAAUUUGAGUGGCUCAAUUCCAAACUGCUUGGACAAUAUGAGUCAACUUGACAGUUUCGAUGUAUCUUAUAACAAUUUGAGUGGCUCAAUUCCAAACUGCUUGGACAAUAUGAGUCAACUUGACAGUUUCGAUGUAUCUUAUAACAAUUUGAGUGGCCCAAUUCCAAAUUGCUUGGGCAAUAUGAGUGCUCUCUAUUCAUUGGGUUUGCAAGGAAAUAACUUCAGUGGAGUGAUACCAAAAUUUUCAAAAGCAACCCAACUGCGAUUUCUGAAAGUUAGUGGGAAUAGAUUGGAAGGGAAGUUGCCCAGAUCAUUAGCAAAAUGCACUAACCUUAUGGUUUUGGAUGUAGGAAGCAACAUGAUCAAUGAUACAUUCCCAUUUUGGUUGGAGAAAUUGACUUACUUGAUGGUUCUAAUAUUGCGGGAAAACAGAUUUUAUGGUCAAAUUAAACAUUUCAAACAUAAAUCUGUUUUCCCAACUUUGGAUGUAUUGGACAUUGCUUCAAACCAGUUUUCUGGUGAACUAUCCAUUGAUUUCCUUCAACCCACUCGACUAAGGUCACUCAAAAUAGGUGGGAAUAAAUUGGAAGGGAAGCUGUCGAGAUCAUUAGCCAAUUGCUCAGCACUUGAGGUUCUGGACCUUGGAAAUAAUAUGGUUCGUGAUACAUUCCCAUUUUGGUUAGAGAAGCUACCUUCCUUGAAGGUUCUCGUUUUGCGAGCAAACAGAUUCUACGGCACAAUUUCUAAAAUCGACUCGGAACGUGGGUUUCCAAAGCUACGCAUAUUGGACAUUGCUUCCAACAAUUUUUCAGGUGACUUGUCCAUUGAAUUUUUGCAGAGUUUGAAGGCAAUGGCGAAGAUGACUAAUGACGAAAAGGCUAAGCUGGAUUAUAUCGGAGAGGAUUAUUAUCAAGACUCUGUGACAAUUGUUAACAAAGGGAUUGAAAUGUUCUACCAGAAAGUCUUGACAAUUCUUACUUGUCUUGACCUUUCCAACAAUAGUUUCCAUGGGAGAAUACCAGAAGAGAUACAAAUGCUGAGGUCACUCAGAGUGAUGAACUUAUCCAACAAUGGCUUUUCUGGUGAAAUCCCAUUUGCAUUUGAAAAUCUAAAAGAUCUUGAAUCUUUGGAUCUCUCAAGAAACAAGCUGUCAGGGAAGAUUCCUGCACAACUUACAAGUUUAACUUUCUUAGCAGGAUUGAACUUGUCUUACAACCAACUUGAAGGGAGCAUACCACAAAGCAACCAAUUCAUUACAUUUACAAAUGAUUCCUACCGUGGGAACCCAAAAUUGUGUGGGCUGCCAUUGUCAAGGAAAUGCAAUGAAGUUGGUCUUCCAAUGCCACCACCUCCAGGGGAAGAUGAAGAUUCAUGGUUAUAUGCUCUGUCUACUUGGAAAAUUGCGUUGAUAGGUUAUGCUAGUGGAUUAGUCGUUGGGCUAUGUAUUGGAUAUACAGUGCUGAAUGAGUUGGGAAACAAAUGGGUUGACAAGUUCAAAAAGUGUGGGAAAAGAAAUAGAAGAAGAUGUAGGUGACUCCAUCCGAAUUCUUGCUUCAAAAUUAGCUGGUACGCAUUUGUCUUUCUAAUUUGAACAGAUAGUUGUUGAUAUGUAUAUAUAUAUAUAUAUAUCGGUUAUCAUAACCUCAUUUUUUGCUGUCUUUACCAAGUUCACUGUCAUAUCGUACUCGUAAUUUUAUGCUACCAUUGAGCAAUCCAGAAGGUACUUGAAGCAGGACAUGGAAUGUACAGUUGUGAGGUUGAUGAAGAAUGUAGGCAAUGAUCCUAACAAGAUCAAUCCACUGGUUUGUAAUUUUGCUUUAUAUGCACUUUUUUCCUUUUGUAGUUCUCCAUGAGUACAAAUAACUGUUUAUUCAUUUUGGAUCCAGGUCCCUGUGGAUUUGGGGGAUGCAAUGUUUCACUGCUACUCAAUUUCCAUGCUAAUAAUGAUAUUAUAAACAAGGAAAUGGCUGCCCAAGCUUUCUUUUAUAUGCAAUUUACUUCAAUUUUUUUAUCUUCAGAAUAUUUGUACAGCUGAGGAGAUUUGAUAGCAUGAUGUUGAUGAAAGCCAUAUCUGAUUGUGUAAACAGACAUUAGCUUUAUUUUUUAUCAAUCACGUGUUAGGCUUUAGGACCGGGUGUAAAGGGUGGACCUGUUGGUCCGGGUUUUAGUUCAGCCCGACACUUAUUUUUUAUACUAGUUUAUUUAUCCUUUCAAUGAUAGUUUUAUUAAUUUAAAAAAUAUUGUUGAAUUAAGUAAUAAUAAUAAUAAUUAAAAUUUAAUUAAAUAAAUUAUGUGUUAAAAUCUAGUAUGCUUUCCAAUGUUAGCCAAAGGCCAACAAUAUCUCACACUAAUAUUUUCUUUGUUAGUCCAAAAUUAAAAAUUUCAAAUUAGAAUGUCAUUUAUAGUUUGAGGACUUAAUUAAUUUUUUUAAAAUUUAGAGACUAAUUUAAAAUUUAAUCCAUAAUUUAAGGAACUAGCCCUUUGGUAAAUCCUAACAUAUUUAUAAGUUCCAUACUCAUUAAUAAAUUAGUACUUAAAAUGCUCAAUUUGGAUGUAGACAAAAGUCAAUUAUGAUAAAAAUUAAAAUAUAUGAAAGUAUGAUGCCUUAUAAUGUGGUGUGCUUUUUAGUAUUGGCAAACAAUCUAAAACAUUAGAAUAAAAAAAAUUAAAUCAUAAUUGUUGACACUAUUUUUUUUGGAUGGAAAACGGGGUCGACUUGGGUUUUAAAAAAUGAAAACGAAAACGGGAGUCGCCACCAAUCUUUUUUAUAAGGUGUGAUCGGAUCACCUUGAAAAGUGGUUGUUUUUAAUAAAUGCUUUGAUUUUAUUAAAACAACGAUUUUGGUCCACGAAAUUCAGAAAAAUGGGUUCGGGAGUCAGUUACGCACGAGGAAGGAUUAGCACCCUCGAUACGCCCAAAAUUGGUACCUAGUUGAUUACUUAAUGUCUUAGUGUCGAAAAACUGAAAACUUUAAAGAAAUUUAAAAUACGAUCCUUAAAAAAAACUCGAAUGGCAUGGAUUAAAAUUCAAAAGGAUAUUUGGUAAUUUGGAUAAACGAGAAAUCGAAACCCAGCACCUUAGGGCACGUUCCUCGAAUUUCCAAACGCAAAACAUUGCCUUAUUUUGAAAUUUUUGAAGGGGUAUUUAGCUAUUUGGUUGAAUGAGAAAAAUCGACACCCAGCACCUUAGGGCAUAUUUUCUCAAAUUUCUAAACGCAAAACAUUGCCUUAUUUUGAAAUUUUUAAGAAGGAUAUUAAGCCAUUUGGUUGAACGAGAAAAAUCGACACACAGCACCUUAGGGCAUGUUUUCUCGAAUUUCCAAACGCAAAACAUUGCCUUAUUUUGAAAUUUUUAAGAAGGAUAUUAAGCCAUUUGGUUGAACGAGAAAAAUCGACACCCAACACCUUAGGGCACGUUUUCUCGAAUUUCUCAAACGCAAAACAUUGCUUUAUUUUAAAAUUUUUAAUUUUGAAGUAUAGUGUUAAUAUGCACAAUGGGAUAAUAAAUAUGAUAAUAUGAACAAUGAUAACAAAAACGAAUAAUGGAAUAAAUCAAUCAUGCAUAUACCAUAGCAAAUAAAUAAAUAAACUAAGUAUAUAAAAAAAAUGGGCAAAUAAAUAAAUGCAUAAAUGAUCACACAAAACAAUAAAGGAAAAUAUAUGAAAACUAUAAAAUAUGAACAUGUAUAUGUACAUUUAAGAGAAAUAUAUAUAUAUGUAAAUAUAUACGUAAAAUUAUAAAAAAUAUGAAAAAAUAUAUAUGAAUUAUAAGAUAUAAAAAUAUAAGUAUUUAUACAUAUAUAUGUAUAUAGAUUAUAAAAUGCAAAAAUAUAUACAAUAUAAGUAUGUUUGUUAUAUAAACAUGUGUACACACAUAAAUUUAUAAAAAUAUGAAAAAUAUAUGUAUAUGUAUAUUUUAAAAUUAUUAAAAUAAAAUAAAAUAAAUAUAUGAGUAUGUAUACAUAUAUAAAUAAAUAAAUUAUAAAAAAUAUGUACGUAUAAUAUAAAAAUGCACGCAUGUACAGAUAUGUAUAGCAAAAUUGGAAAUUUGCAAAUAUAUGUAUAUAUAUAUAUAUAUAAAUGAGGAAAUAAAAUAAUAAUAAUAAUAAUCAUAAUCAUAAUAGAUUUAUUAAUAAAAUAACCAAAAUAACGAAAAGAGGACCGAAUUGAAAUUUUAAAACAAAAUUUGGGGUUAAAUCAUAAAUAAAUUAAAAGGGAAGGACCGUUCUGAACACGCAUGUAACAUGGAGGGACUAAAAAUGAAAAUUAACCUUUCCUCAAAAAUGACGUCGUUCCAACAGGGACCAAGUCGAAAUAAAAGAAAAAUAAUUGGGUCAAAAUUGCAAAUAAAAAUAAACUGCAUUAGAAAAUAUAAAAUGCGGAAGGACCAAAGCGGAAAAUAUCCCAAAAGUCGAAAAUGCGCGGAUCCUGUAGCGGGUCGGGUCUCGCGCAGGGGUCUGGGAGUGAAACGACGUCGUUUUGGGUGUUUUGGAGCUGAGCCAAAACGGCGUCGUUUUACAAGGGUAUAAAAAUCAAUGUUUUGAGAAAAAAAAUCAUUUGAGCAUUGAAAAGAAAAAAAAAACAGAAGAAAGAAAAAGAAUCCUCUCUAGACUAAGUCCAGAUUCCGGCCAAGGCCCACCGUUCCGGCGUCUCGCCGGUGGCCGGAAAUUUCAGAAAAAGUUAUUUUUUUUAUUUUUUUUCGCACUUUUCUCUUUAUAUUAUAUAUGUAUAUAAGUAAAUAAACAAAAAAAGAAAAAAAAUAUAUCUGAGAAGAAAUCGAAAAUAAGAUAGAACACUGGCAAUCACCUUUAAACUUUUUUUGCUUUUUUAUUUCUGUAAAUGCUACCAAAAAAGGAAAAGAAAAGCCCCCUGUUACAAGAAUGAAGUUCGGCCCCCCCCCCCUUUUUUUGAUUUUUUCAUCGGCCUUAUAUAGCCAAAAAUACAAAAAAAAAAAUCUCCCUUUUGCUAUCCGUAUUUGCUGCUGCUUGUUGGUGUUUGUUGCAGGUACUGGCGGAGCAGUUGGAGCAGGUGAGUCGGUGGCAAGUGGGCGUGGUGACGGCUGCGAACAGAGGGCAGGUGAGGAGGCCAGGAGCAGGUGCGGCACAACAGGGGGCUAGGGUUUCUGCUAGGUGUUUAGGUUUUGGGCUGAUUGGGCUGUUAGGGUUUUUAUUUUUUUGGGCUUUGUUUGGUUGUAAUGGGUAGAGGUUUAGGUUUGUAUUUGGGUUGUUGGGUUUUAUUUUCUUUGGUGGGCCGGGCGAAUUUGGGCUUCUACAAUAACAUAUUUAUAAGUUCAAAUUAGAACAUUUGAAAUAAAUACGUGACCUUAAUAAAACGGCUCAUUUCCGUCAAUUUUACAAAAAAUGGCCUAUUUCCGUGUUUUUUUUUAAAUAAAAGGGCCUUUUCUGAUAAUUUAGUUCUAUAAAAGAAAUAGACCAGAUUCAUUAGUAGAUUUCUGCUGGCCAUUACAAGGGGGGAAAAAGAAAAUUUCAGAAAGAUUUGUCAAAGAGAACCCUUGAUAUAGCUCUAAUGGUGUUAGGAGUAGUCCGCAGCAACCACCAUAGAGACAAGCACCUGCAUUUCUCCAUUUCCCUACAUAUGACACAAAAUCCUCUUCUGUUUCCCCUCUUGUUUUCUGCAUUUCCACACAUGUUAACAUGAGAAUAAACAUGUUAACUCUGAUAAUCAGUAGAAAGAAAACUAAACAUAACCCUGUCUCUAGACCUCCCUUUUACUAUUAAAUACUUCCUCAAAACACCUUCUCUUUGGAACCCAGCUUUUUCAAGCACCCUUUGAGACCCCACAUUUUCAACAUCAACCAAAGCCUCGAGUCUCUCCAAAUGUGGCCAUUCAACAAAUAUGGUCUCAACCACCAUCUUCACAGCUCUCGUUACAAUCCCUUUACCCCAAUAUUUGAAUGCCAAAACAUACCCAAGUUCACCCCUGCAUUUAUCAUUGCCUGAAUUUGCACUUACCGAAAUAGCACCAACCGGUCGGUCGUCAAUACAUAUUGCUCUUAACCAAGGAUGAGGCACAACAAUGUUCUUUAUGUAAUUCAAGCCAUCUUCUUUGUUGGUAUAAGGUUCCCAAGUACAGAAACGUGUCACUUUUUCAUCACUGGCCCAGACCAUGAAAUCAUCCACAUCUGAAACUUGUAAUGGUCGGAGAGAUAGGUUGGGAUAUUCAUCUUUGGCUUUGAUUUGGUCUGAUUGAACAACAGAGGUUACUGCCAUGCUGGGUUUCUUGUAAAAAAAUUUGGGUUAAUCUCUGAAUGUGUAAUUAAUUUGAAGUUUUGGAUGAGAACUAAGAAGAUUAGGUUUGGUAUAUAUUGUUAAACUAAAAGAUGAUAGCUUGGAGAACUUGGUAGGAACCUUAGCCAAACUAUGCUGCUUGGUGCUUUCCUUUUUGAGUGAACAGCCGCCCCUUUUGAUUCAAGAACUAAGGCAGGUAGACAUGAAUUUAUUUGAUUAUUUGACCACAAAAAUUGGUAGGCAAACUUAAAGGAAAAAUUUUGACUUUAAUUCAUCUACUUAACUUAGAAUGUCAAAUUAAAGUAAAUUUUUAAAUUUUUAAAUAAUCAACAAGUUUUUUUCAAAAUUGAUCUAAAAAAGUUGAUUAUUUAUGAAAAUAAUUUAGGUACAAAAAUGAUAUGUUUUCUAUAGUUCAAGUCGACACCAUCCUCCAUCAUCCCGUAAUGAUUAUCCUGUCUAUUAAAAAUAUUUUUUUUCCUAACAGAGUGUUCAUUGACAUCAAUAUAUAUAUAUAUUUCAAAUAUAAUUAAAAAGUACGGAUAUUUUAUGAUUAAAAAAUUAAAAAAAUUAAUAGGUGACCGUAUUUAUGUUAUCGACACUAAUUCAAACUUUUUUUAAAAAAUUUAUCAGUACUUUUUAUGUCGACGCUCUUGUUGCCAUCACCUAUUAAAAGAUUUAUUUUUUUUAUUUUUUAUAAUCCGAUAAGCUUCUUUAUUGUUCUUAUUAGUUUAAUAGGCAUAAGAAAAAUUAUUAUGCUUCAAGUGCAAGUAGAUGUGCUGCUGAUUAAACUAAUGAGGGCAAUAUGUUUUGCCGCCCAAGCCAAGCCAUCUGAGUCACCCCUUUUUUCCCAAUUCUUUUAUAUCUUCAACCAAGGUUUUCUUUUUGCCGGCCUUCUUGUUGCCGGAACCUAUUAAAAUAAUUUUUUUAUUUUUCAAUCGCAAAAUAUUUGUAUUUUUUAAUUAUAUUUGAAAUAUAUAUAUACAUAUAUAAGUGUAGGCGAACACAACGCCGAUAUAAAAAAAUCAUUUUUUAUAGAUUGAUCAAUCACUAUAUGAUUAUGGAAGGUGGUGCUGACAGUGAGAUUGUCAGCGCCAACAUGAACGGUAGAAAACAAGUCAUUUUCGUACAAGAUUUUACACUUAAUCAUUUUGAAAAAAAACUCUAAACAAAUGUUAAAUAUAAUGGUAAGAGACAUUGUAAUUCUGAAGAGAGAACAUGUGCUCAAACCUUCGAGAUAAUAUUGUUAGGAGAAGCAGUUACGAACCUCGAACAUAAAUCGUAAAUCGAAUACGAGGAAUAAAAAAAUAAAAAUUUUAAGAAUAUUUUAAUAUUAAAUGGAAUAGACAAAUAUGGUGAUUAGAUUUUGCGCAUUGUAUUUUAAAGAGGCUUUUUUGGUGCCCUUAUUUAUUUAUGUUAUCAAUUUUAACUAAAAGAGAUCCCCAGAUUUGGACCAAAAAGAAAAGACCCCAGAAUAUAUUGAUGAUCUUAGUCCAAUGGCAGUAAUCCAAGUUGACAAAUCUCCUUUUUGUUCUCCAUUGUAUUGAAGACCUCCAUUACACUCAAAGGGUCAAAGCUUGGUCAUAAUAGCUCUCGAAACCAUUUUUUUGAAAAUAAAAUUAAGUUAUCGACUUUAAAAAUAAAAAUUGGAGUCGCCACCGAUCCUUGAUUGAGGUGUGAUCGGCUCACUUUAAAAACGAUUUUGGUCUGCGAAAUUUGAGAAACUAGGUUCGGGAGUCAGUUACGCACGAGGAAGGGUUAGCACCCUCGUAACGCCCAAAAAUCGGUACCAAAUUUGAUUAUUUUAUGUCUUGAUGUCGAAAAUUUGAAAAGAGUUAAAAUAAAAAUUUUAAACUCGAGAAUGAAUUAAAAUGGUAAACAUUCUUAUUUCAAAGAAAUAAAACAUCACACCCAGUGAGUUAGGGCACAAUAUUUUUAAAUCUUCAAAAUCAAGUUCGUCGUUGGUUUUUGAAAUUCUUAUUUCGAGUUGAUAAAAUGUCACGACCAGUAAGUUAGGACCCGACAUUCUUGGAUUCCCGAGAAUAAGCUUUUAUUUGAAUCUUUGUGAAUUUAUUACAAAAUAAAUAUUUGGUUUUCCAAAUUCAUCGAAAAAUAAUCACAAUCCAGUAAGUUAGGACACAAUCUUUCUCGAGAAUCAAGAAUGCCAAAUAUUUAAAAUUUAAAAAACAAUUUUAAUGCUUUGACAAAACUAAAAUAUAUUUUCUUUGAAAACAUGAUAAAAUGCGAAUGCAUAUAUAUAUGUAUUCAAAAAUCAUGAAAAAUGAAUUAAUAAUAAAAUAUACAUACNNNNNNNNNNNNNNNNNNNNNNNNNNNNNNNNNNNNNNNNNNNNNNNNNNNNNNNNNNNNNNNNNNNNNNNNNNNNNNNNNNNNNNNNNNNNNNNNNNNNNNNNNNNNNNNNNNNNNNNNNNNNNNNNNNNNNNNNNNNNNNNNNNNNNNNNNNNNNNNNNNNNNNNNNNNNNNNNNNNNNNNNNNNNNNNNNNNNNNNNNNNNNNNNNNNNNNNNNNNNNNNNNNNNNNNNNNNNNNNNNNNNNNNNNNNNNNNNNNNNNNNNNNNNNNNNNNNNNNNNNNNNNNNNNNNNNNNNNNNNNNNNNNNNNNNNNNNNNNNNNNNNNNAAAAAAACUAAAAUAAACCUAAAACUACCAAUUAGGGAUCAAACUGUAAAAUAAACAGAAUUAAAAGGCUGAAUUUAAAGAUAUAAAACACUAAAAAGGACUAAAUUAAAAUGCGCGCAACAGGGAAGGAUUGAAAGGGAAAUUAAUCCCAUCUUCUAAAAUGCUGCGCAGCAACACGAACCAAAUUAAAACAGUAAUAAAAUAUUUUGCGAAAUUUAAAAGAAAUAAAAAGACAAUUUUAUAGCACUGUAAAAACAAAAGGGACCAAUUGCGCAAAUUAUCCACUUGAUGCCCUAUAUAAGCCUAUUUUAAAACCCUAAAACACCACUCCUCUGCCAUUUCAAGUGUUUGCGCCGCAGCCUCCCUUUCUCUGCCGUUCUCCCAACUCCGAACAGAUAACGACGAAUGAGGGCGCCCAACGACGGUAAGUCCUCCUUUCCUUCUUCUCUUCCAAAAUCGUUUUCUUUCUCUUGUAUUUCUUGUUAAUUUUCAUACAAAAUUUUUGCUAACCCCUAUUACAUAAAUCAAUUCCCUUUAUAUAGCCCCCCAAUCCUUUUACCAGUUUUUGCCCUGUCUCUCUUGCUGAUAUCGUUCGUGGCUUAUUGCAGGUGCGUACUAGAGGAGACAUGUGCGACGUGCGCGCGGAGGGCUGAACGUGGGCGGUUACUGCGACGUGUGUGGGGUGCGACUGCUGAUUGCUGCGAUGUGGGGCGUGCACGACGUUAGGGUAGCUACUGUUAACCACUGUUUAGGGUUAGACUGGGAUUUGGGCCUUAUUGGGCCAAAUGUAAUUGGAUUAGAUUGAUUAAUUUGGGCCCCGGGCAUCAAUUGGGUAUUACAAUAGUACUACAAUAGCUUUAAGAGGUUGCUGCCAUUGUUGGAGUGCUUUUCUGGUGCCUGCAAUAGCCAACUUAACUGAGCUGUUCUUGGGCUUAUAUUCACGUACAUACAAAUACAUAUAGAAAUAUGACUUUUUGUGUAUUUCUGCAUUUUUUUUAUAUCAUAGACUGCUCUGCAAUUUAAAAUCCACCUGAAAUUAAUUUCCAAUCCACCCGAAAGUUAUUUAUACUUUGAGAACUUAAUUAGAACAUUAUGAAAUCUAGAAAAUUUAAAAUUCGAUGUAUAAUUUUAAGAUGUAAGAUGAAUUAACCCUAUGAUAAAUCAUAACAUAUUUAUAAGUUUGAUACUCAUUAACAAAUUGAUUUUAUAUUAUAAGUUAAAUUUUAAUUUUUUUGGUGCUAUAACGAAAUUUCCUUAAAAGAAUAUAAAUUUUAGAAUUUUUAUGAAUAUUUUGAUUUUAAAAAUUAUUUUAAAAUUUUUUUUGUAAUUUUUGUUGAGAGAGAUUAAUUUGUUAAUUUUAAAAUUGACAGGAAUCAAAGGAGUAUAUAUAUCAAUCUGUUGUUUGAAUUAUUCGAGUUAUUUAAAUUAUAAAACUCAACUCGAAUCUCGAAUUAUAAAUAUUUUUAAUAAUAUAAAACAUAAAAAAUAUUAAAAUUAAAUAAUAAUAUAGAAAUGACAAUAUUUCUCACGCUCUAAGAAAGAUUGAAAGCUAAAAUUUAAAUAUGUCUCUUUCAAAAGUGAAAAAUUUUAUAUAUUCUAUUAUCAAAAUUUUCACUCAUUGUGUCCAUCAAUCUAAAAGGUGAAUUGACUUAUACACAUUGGUUGAACCUUGUUUUUGUGCAAUAAAAACUUAGACAUUUGCAUGCAAUGCCAAAGACUUAAGACUUACAAGGCCUAUAAUAUUUCAUACUAUCAUUUUUUCUGGUCCUAAAUUAAAUAUUUUAAAAUUUUCAAAUUAAGUCAUUACUCAUAAUUUGAAAACUUAAUUAAAAUAUUAUAAAAUUUAGCGGUCAAUUUAAAAUUCGAUGUAUAAUUUUGAGAUGUAAGGUGAAUUAACCAUUUUGGAUACUCAUUAACAAAUUGAUUUUAUAUUUAUAUUUUUGGUACUAUAACAAAAUUUACUUAAAAAAUUAAAUUGUAAUUUUUUAUUUUAAAAAAUUAAAUGAUGUAGAAAUAAUUAUAUAUAACAUAAAAAUGAUAAAAUUUACCUGAGUUUAAAAUAAUUUAAAGUUAAAAUAUUUGAAACAUGGAUUUUUUUUCUAAAAAGUCGGUACCUAAAAUAUAUAAUUUAAACUCAAAAUAUCUGUUGAAUUAUCAUCUUUACUCAUCCUAUGCGUAGUAAUGGUUCUAAUAGGGUUUAAAGUGCUAUAAUUUAGUCUUUUUUAAUGACUUAGAUUUAGACCAUUAUUUAUAUAGAGUAAGGAGCGGGCAAGAAAACUACAACCUUGAUAUUAAUAAGUUAAUGAGAUCCACAAAUAUUAAAAUCUCAUUCUUCAAAAUUAAAAUGGAAAAAAAAAGAAAGACUUGACUAAAGUGGUGGAACAUUAUGUUGAUGCAGUAUUGAUUGGGCAAAAAGACUUGGAAAUUGCAUGCUAUGCCAAACAUGAGAACUACACAUUUCUGUAUAAAUAAGUUGUAUGCCAAGCACAAUCCUUCUUCACACCCAACAAACAUGAACACUCUUCAUUUCCUUAUUUCACCCUUCCUCUUCUCAUGCUUCCUUUCUCUUGUCUUGUCUUUUUCAUCUCCUCAAACUCAUCUCCCUAAGCAAUGCCUUGAUGACCAGAGAGCUCCUCUGCUGCAAUUGCAGCAUCAUCUUUACUAUGCCCCUAAUUUUACUUUCUCUUCCAAAUUUGACCUCUGGGAUGUCAACACUGAUUGUUGUUCUUGGGAAGGAGUCACUUGUGAUGCUUAUGGUCAUGUCGUUGGCAUUGAUCUUAGUUACAAAAACCUUUCAGGCAGCUUCCACUCCAUAUUCGAUCUCCAUCGUCUUCAACGCCUUAAUCUUGCUGGAAACAACUUUAGUACCACUCUGUUCUCGUAUGGGUUUGAUAAACUCCAAAAUCUAACUCAUCUCAACCUUUCAAGCUCAUGUUUCCAUGGCCAAAUUCCAAUGAAGAUCUCACACCUAACAAGGUUAGUUUCUCUGGACCUAUCUAGUCAAGGUGAUUACUGUUGGAGAAAUGGUUACGAUUAUAAUUCAGCUACUUUAAAAUUGGAGAAACCAAACUUCAAGACAUUUAUCAAGAAUUUGAAGUUUCUCACGGAGCUUUAUUUGGAUAGUGUGGACAUUUCAACUCAAAGUGCUAAAUGGUGUGAAACCACAUCUCUUGUACUUUCCAACCUGCGUGUGUUGAGUCUGUCAAACUGUGGUUUGAAAGGUCCAUUAUGUUCUUCACUCUCAAGACUCUCUUUUCUUUCCAAACUUAUCCUUGAUUGCAACCCAAUCUCUUAUUUACCUCCCAAUUUCUUGGUAAAUUCCUCUCGUUUGGUUUCUCUCAGUUUGAUGGGUUGCAGUUUGAAUGGGCAUUUUCCAACCGGAAUUCUCUUAUUGCCAAAAAUUCAAAGCAUUGACAUUUCAUUUAAUCACCAACUUAUGGGUCAGUUGCCAGAAUUUCCAGCAAACAAUGCAUUACUGAGUCUGUCACUUCAUGACACAAAUUUCAGUGGAAAACUACCUGAAUCGAUUGGUAAUCUUAAGUUCCUGACAAAUUUAGACCUUUCUGAUUGCAAUUUUUUUGGACCCAUUCCAUCGUCAAUUGCAAAUCUUAGUCAUCUGGUGAACUUGGUUCUAAGUUCAAACAAGCUUUCUGGAUCAAUACAUUCUUCUUUAUUUACUCUUCCAUCGUUGAAGAACCUGUAUCUUGGAGAAAAUCAAUUGGUUGGGAAAAUUGAUGAGUUCCCCAAUGCAUCUUCUUCUUUGAUUCAAGAAUUAAGUAUGGGAAAUAAUUAUUUAACAGGACCAAUCCCAAAGUCAAUCCUUCAACUUCCAUGGCUUGAAAAACUUAAUAUUGGAGACAAUAGCUUUAGUUUUAUGAAGCUUGACAUGUUUGUCCAACUCAACAACUUAAGGACUCUUGGGCUAAACAAUAUAAGCUUGUUAAUUGAAAGCGACAACAGAAGUCUUCCUUUUCCCCAAUUAGAGACCCUAAGGCUAAGGUCAUGCAACCUUACUGAAUUUCCAGAAUUCAUUAAAAGGCAAGACAAGUUGGUUGGCUUAGAUCUUUCGAACAACCAUAUCCAUGGUUUUGUGCCCAAUUGGUUGUGGAAGAGCAGUCUUUCAUGGGUAGACCUAUCUUUCAAUGUGAUUGAUUUUCCAAAACAGCUUCCCUUAAAUGAUGCAAACAUCUCAAUUCCAAUGUUGAAAAAAUUCGAAGCAUCUUAUAACAAUUUGAGUGGCCCAAUUCCAAAUUGGUUAUGCAAUAUGAGUCAACUUAGCAUUUUUGGUGCAUCUAAUAAACAUGUUAACAUGAGAAUAAACAUGUCAACUCUGAUAAUCAGUAGAAAGAAAACUCAACAUAACCCUGUCUCUAGACCUCCCUUUUACUAUUAAAUACUUCCUCAAAACACCUUCUCUUUGGAACCCAGCUUUUUCAAGCACCCUUUGAGACCCCACAUUUUCAACAUCAACCAAAGCCUCGAGUCUCUCCAAAUGUGGCCAUUCAACAAAUAUGGUCUCAACCACCAUCUUCACAGCUCUCGUUACAAUCCCUUUACCCCAAUAUUUGAAUGCCAAAACAUACCCAAGUUCACCCCUGCAUUUAUCAUUGCCUGAAUUUGCACUUACCGAAAUAGCACCAACCGGUCGGUCGUCAAUACAUAUUGCUCUUAACCAAGGAUGAGGCACAACAAUGUUCUUUAUGUAAUUCAAGCCAUCUUCUUUGUUGGUAUAAGGUUCCCAAGUACAGAAACGUGUCACUUUUUCAUCACUGGCCCAGACCAUGAAAUCAUCCACAUCUGAAACUUGUAAUGGUCGGAGAGAUAGGUUGGGAUAUUCAUCUUUGGCUUUGAUUUGGUCUGAUUGAACAACAGAGGUUACUGCCAUGCUGGGUUUCUUGUAAAAAAAUUUGGGUUAAUCUCUGAAUGUGUAAUUAAUUUGAAGUUUUGGAUGAGAACUAAGAAG
Molecule: long non-coding RNA, 19615 nt
Filed under: Gossypium raimondii (Peruvian cotton)
Lineage: Eukaryota; Viridiplantae; Streptophyta; Magnoliopsida; Malvales; Malvaceae
Description: long non-coding RNA (GRAI_LNC003427)
Source: RNAcentral